Molecule: transfer RNA, 83 nt
Filed under: Actinomycetota bacterium
Lineage: Bacteria; Bacillati; Actinomycetota
Description: tRNA-His
Source: RNAcentral
GGUGCUCGGGCGUGGGCCGGUAGGCAACGAAACCACCUGGUUGUGGUCCAGGCGGUCGGGGGUUCGAGUCCCCUCGCUCACCU